CGCCAUCACUCCUACGGGAGGCAGCAGUGGGGAAUAUUGCACAAUGGGGGAAACCCUGAUGCAGCCAUGCCGCGUGUGUGAAGAAGGCCUUCGGGUUGUAAAGCACUUUCAGUAGGGAGGAAGGUAGUGUAGUUAACACCUGCAUUAUUUGACGUUACCUACAGAAGAAGCACCGGCUAACUCCGUGCCAGCAGCCGCGGUAAUACGGAGGGUGCGAGCGUUAAUCGGAAUUACUGGGCGUAAAGCGCAUGCAGGCGGCCUGUUAAGUCAGAUGUGAAAGCCCGGGGCUUAACCUCGGAAUUGCAUUUGAAACUGGCAGGCUAGAGUCUUGUAGAGGGGGUAGAAUUUCAGGUGUAGCGGUGAAAAUGCGUAGAGAUCUGAAGGAAUACCAGUGGCGAAGGCGGCCCCCUGGACAAAGACUGACGCUCAGAUGCGAAAGCGUGGGGAGCAAACAGGAUUAGAUACCCUGGUAG
This 473-nucleotide ribosomal RNA is filed under the name uncultured bacterium. Its description in RNAcentral is "bacterial SSU rRNA". It matches the Rfam family "Bacterial small subunit ribosomal RNA", at positions 328 to 793 of the family's 1533-position model. The record is from RNAcentral.